This 476-nucleotide ribosomal RNA is filed under the name Zanclus cornutus (moorish idol). Its description in RNAcentral is "partial small subunit ribosomal RNA". It matches the Rfam family "Bacterial small subunit ribosomal RNA", at positions 788 to 1491 of the family's 1533-position model. The record is from RNAcentral. Lineage: Eukaryota; Metazoa; Chordata; Actinopteri; Acanthuriformes; Zanclidae.
CACUAUGCCUAGCCCUAAACAUCGGUAGCAUUCUACAGCUGCUACCCGCCUGGGUACUACGAGCAUCAGCUUAAAACCCAAAGGACUUGGCGGUGCUUUAGAUCCACCUAGAGGAGCCUGUUCUAGAACCGAUGCCCCCCGUUCAACCUCACCCUUUCUUGUUUUCCCCGCCUAUAUACCACCGUCGUCAGCUUACCCUGUGAAGGCCUCAUAGUAAGCAAGAUUGGCACAGCCCAAAACGUCAGGUCGAGGUGUAGCGCAUGGAAGGGGAAGAAAUGGGCUACAUUCCCUCCCCUCAGGGAAUUACGGACGAUGUACUGAAAUACAUAUCUGAAGGAGGAUUUAGCAGUAAGCAAAAAAUAGAGUGUUUUGCUGAAAUUGGCCCUGAAGCGCGCACACACCGCCCGUCACUCUCCCCAAGCUCACACCCUAAAGUAAAUAAAACCCUAUACCUGCAAAGGGGAGGCAAGUCGUAA